Molecule: unclassified non-coding RNA, 377 nt
Filed under: uncultured bacterium
Lineage: Bacteria
Description: contains 16S-23S intergenic spacer region
Source: RNAcentral
UCCGGUUUGUCACCGGCAGUCUUGCAUGAGUCCCCAGCCGAACCGCUGGCAACAUGCAACGGGGGUUGCGCUCGUUGCGGGACUUAACCCAACAUCUCACGACACGAGCUGACGACAGCCAUGCACCACCUGUGAUCGUGUCCCGAAGGAAAGGUGUGUUUCCACACCGGUCACGAACAUGUCAAGCCCAGGUAAGGUUCUUCGCGUUGCGUCGAAUUAAACCACAUGCUCCGCUGCUUGUGCGGGCCCCCGUCAAUUCCUUUGAGUUUCAACCUUGCUGCCGUACUCCCCAGGCGGAGUGCUUAAUGCGUUAGCGACGGCAGUGAAAGCGUUGAAACUUCCACCACCUAGCACUCAUCGUUUACAGCUAGGACUAC